RNAcentral lists this ribosomal RNA (492 nucleotides) under uncultured bacterium. RNAcentral's name for it is "partial 16S ribosomal RNA". It matches the Rfam family "Bacterial small subunit ribosomal RNA", at positions 29 to 507 of the family's 1533-position model. The record is from RNAcentral.
AGUGAACGCUGGCGGUAGGCCUAACACAUGCAAGUCGAACGGCAGCACAGUAAGAGCUUGCUCUUACGGGUGGCGAGUGGCGGACGGGUGAGGAAUACAUCGGAAUCUACUUUUUCGUGGGGGAUAACGUAGGGAAACUUACGCUAAUACCGCAUACGACCUACGGGUGAAAGCAGUGGAUCUUCGGACCUUGCGCGAUUGAAUGAGCCGAUGUCGGAUUAGCUAGUUGGCGGGGUAAAGGCCCACCAAGGCGACGAUCCGUAGCUGGUCUGAGAGGAUGAUCGGCAACACUGGAACUGAGACACGGUCCAGACUCCUACGGGAGGCAGCAGUGGGGAAUAUUGGACAAAGGGCGCAAGCCUGAUCCAGCCAUACCGCGUGGGUGAAGAAGGCCUUCGGGUUGUAAAGCCCUUUUGUUGGGAAAGAAAAGCAGCAGGUUAAUACCCCGCUGUUCUGACGGUACCCAAAGAAUAAGCACCGGCUAACUUCGUG